This 624-nucleotide ribosomal RNA is filed under the name Escherichia coli. RNAcentral describes it as "partial 23S ribosomal RNA". It matches the Rfam family "Bacterial large subunit ribosomal RNA", at positions 2174 to 2797 of the family's 2925-position model. Lineage: Bacteria; Pseudomonadati; Pseudomonadota; Gammaproteobacteria; Enterobacterales; Enterobacteriaceae. The record is from RNAcentral.
GUCUGCAUGGAGCCGACCUUGAAAUACCACCCUUUAAUGUUUGAUGUUCUAACGUUGGCCCGUAAUCCGGGUUGCGGACAGUGUCUGGUGGGUAGUUUGACUGGGGCGGUCUCCUCCUAAAGAGUAACGGAGGAGCACGAAGGUUGGCUAAUCCUGGUCGGACAUCAGGAGGUUAGUGCAAUGGCAUAAGCCAGCUUGACUGCGAGCGUGACGGCGCGAGCAGGUGCGAAAGCAGGUCAUAGUGAUCCGGUGGUUCUGAAUGGAAGGGCCAUCGCUCAACGGAUAAAAGGUACUCCGGGGAUAACAGGCUGAUACCGCCCAAGAGUUCAUAUCGACGGCGGUGUUUGGCACCUCGAUGUCGGCUCAUCACAUCCUGGGGCUGAAGUAGGUCCCAAGGGUAUGGCUGUUCGCCAUUUAAAGUGGUACGCGAGCUGGGUUUAGAACGUCGUGAGACAGUUCGGUCCCUAUCUGCCGUGGGCGCUGGAGAACUGAGGGGGGCUGCUCCUAGUACGAGAGGACCGGAGUGGACGCAUCACUGGUGUUCGGGUUGUCAUGCCAAUGGCACUGCCCGGUAGCUAAAUGCGGAAGAGAUAAGUGCUGAAAGCAUCUAAGCACGAAACUUGC